Molecule: long non-coding RNA, 1891 nt
Organism: Halichondria panicea
Lineage: Eukaryota; Metazoa; Porifera; Demospongiae; Suberitida; Halichondriidae
Exons: 4
Source: RefSeq, a predicted model, not a curated record
UUAUAAGAACCAUAAUGACAAGAGCAAUUAGUUCUAUUCCAACACUUGUGCUGUAUAUGCUGCCCCAAGCUAGAUCUACCACUGAGUAUAUAUAGUUGAUGAGCUGUCAGCCUGGUGUUUCAUUAUCGGCCAUGUGAGCUGCAUAAUCCAUUUCAGUCUGCUGUCAAUGCCGGCUGAAGAGGAGGCCCAUCUGUAGAUCUGAAGAGAUGAGUCAUUAUAAUUUUAUUACCGGAUUUUCUGAAUCUGAAGCUGUAACCUCGAGACCAGCCUUUCGUAUCUGAAAGAACGCCUGGUCAAGUUCCAAUGUGCAACUUGUCUAGCUGAGUCAGCCUUUUACAGUAUCAUAAUGAUAUUCAUGGGUAAUACACCUUGUGCGGGCAAUUAUCGGUCCAAAAAAUUCCUGUAUUCUAAUACACUAGAACGAGUGCUACAUUGGAACUUGACCAGGCGUUCUUUCAGAUAACGAACGGCUGGUCUCGAGGCUGUACUGAAGCUGGCCCACAGCAAAAUGUACCAAUAUCAACAACUGGAGAGUACUAGAUAUAUACACAGGCGCGCAUCAUUAUAAUUAUGCAACUAUAAUUAUUAUAUCAGUGCCCAUAAUUAUUUUAAUGCUUUAAUUUGUAUACGUAUAUAAAGCCCAAUAUUCAGUGAGUGUGGAGAGACCAUGUCCAAUGGAAACAGUCACUUUCACCUGCACUGCUCCUGGAGAUUCUUUGAGAUGGGUACCAUCAGAUGUUUCUCGCAUCACUAUCCGUCCUACAACCUCUGGUCUCAAUGUACCACUAUGCCUCAACCAGGUUACACUGUGACACUGAUUGCAUUCAAUGACACUACACUAACAUCUACUCUGUCAAGAACAGCAGAGAAUGGGAUCACUGUGUCCUAUGUGGGGGGAUUUGUGAACUCACUGCUUACUCUGACCACUAUAGGAUCUUCAAUGAUCCAAUUGGUUGUGGGACCCUCCUACUGAGACUGGUGGUAGAGAUGACCUCACCUACACAGUGACCAUCUCACCUCCGGCCCAGCUCUCUGCUACUGUCCUCACAUCAACCUCCGUCACUGUGACUGCUCAAUACAAUGUGGACUACACUGUCAGUGUUGUGGCUAUCAACUGUGCUGGGAACAGUACAACAGCUGGGUACAACUUUAGGAUUGAUGAGUUUUAUUAUUUUUUACACACAGUGUCGACUUCCUCUCAGGUGGCUGUCCUGUGUUGACUAACCUUGUGAAUGGAUCAUUUGCACCACUCUCCAGCGGAUCAACAGUAACUAUAAAGUGUGAUGCUGGAUAUGUGUCUGCAUGCUAUUGCUAUGGUGACACGCGAGGGCAGUACAUUGAUAUGGAGUCCAGAACCUGAGGCUAUUGAGUGUACAUCACUAACCACAACUCUCACUCCAAUAAACUGCACGGCUCCACUAUCCCCACCACUUGAACCACCUACAGCUGCUCCUUGUAAUUGUGCCAGCCUAUCUGCAGCUGUCUCCAUCAGUGUGGUUGUCAUGGCAAUUGUAUUCACAAUAAUAGGAUUAUUUGUGGGACUCUUGAUAAUGUAUUUGUUCAUGCAUAAGAAGAAUGUGUACUCCCCGUCACCUAAAGAGCAAGCUAACGUAGGACCCACUACACCAGCUGGUCCUGUUUAUGAGGAGGUGUCACCCAAAGAGGAGAUUGAACUGAACACUAACCAGGCGUAUGGACCAGUAGGACUGUGAAACUUUUGGUAAUUUUCAUCAACAGUUAAUUAAUGUAGAUGUACAUGUAAACAAUUAAUAUAGCACUACAUCCGUUCAUUAUCAACAACUUAAACAAUGUAAACAAUAACAUUGUUCAUUAAAAAGCUACUAUAGUCUACAUGUUUUGUAUCAAAAGUAGUAAAUUCAAAGAAGUUAUA